This 467-nucleotide ribosomal RNA is filed under the name uncultured bacterium. RNAcentral describes it as "partial 16S ribosomal RNA". It matches the Rfam family "Bacterial small subunit ribosomal RNA", at positions 29 to 507 of the family's 1533-position model. The record is from RNAcentral.
ACGAACGCUGGCGGCGUGCUUAACACCUGCCAGUCGCACGGAAAGGCCCUGCUUUUGUGGGGUGCUCGAGUGGCGAACGGGUGAGUAACACGUGAGUAACCUGCCCUUGACUUUUGGAUAACUUCAGGAAACUGGGGCUAAUACCGGAUAGGAGCUCCUGCUGCAUGGUGGGGGUUGGAAAGUUUCGGCGGUUGGGGAUGGACUCGCGGCUUAUCAGCUUGUUGGUGGGGUAGUGGCUUACCAAGGCUUUGACGGGUAGCCGGCCUGAGAGGGUGACCGGCCACAUUGGGACUGAGAUACGGCCCAGACUCCUACGGGAGGCAGCAGUGGGGAAUAUUGCACAAUGGGCGGAAGCCUGAUGCAGCAACGCCGCGUGCGGGAUGACGGCCUUCGGGUUGUAAACCGCUUUCGCCUGUGACGAAGCGUGAGUGACGGUAAUGGGUAAAGAAGCACCGGCUAACUACGUG